RNAcentral lists this transfer RNA (72 nucleotides) under Myotis brandtii (Brandt's bat). It matches the Rfam family "tRNA". Rfam says of the family: Transfer RNA (tRNA) molecules are approximately 80 nucleotides in length. Their secondary structure includes four short double-helical elements and three loops (D, anti-codon, and T loops). Further hydrogen bonds mediate the characteristic L-shaped molecular structure. tRNAs have two regions of fundamental functional importance: the anti-codon, which is responsible for specific mRNA codon recognition, and the 3' end, to which the tRNAs corresponding amino acid is attached (by aminoacyl-tRNA synthetases). tRNAs cope with the degeneracy of the genetic code in two manners: having more than one tRNA (with a specific anti-codon) for a particular amino acid; and 'wobble' base-pairing, i.e. permitting non-standard base-pairing at the 3rd anti-codon position. The record is from Rfam by way of RNAcentral. Lineage: Eukaryota; Metazoa; Chordata; Mammalia; Chiroptera; Vespertilionidae.
GCCCGCAUGGCUCAGUGGUUGAGCAUCUACCUAUGAACUAGAAGGUCAAGGGUUCGAUUCCCAGUCAGGGCA